Molecule: ribosomal RNA, 2900 nt
Filed under: Escherichia coli
Lineage: Bacteria; Pseudomonadati; Pseudomonadota; Gammaproteobacteria; Enterobacterales; Enterobacteriaceae
Description: 23S ribosomal RNA
Rfam family: Bacterial large subunit ribosomal RNA
Source: RNAcentral
UUAAGCGACUAAGCGUACACGGUGGAUGCCCUGGCAGUCAGAGGCGAUGAAGGACGUGCUAAUCUGCGAUAAGCGUCGGUAAGGUGAUAUGAACCGUUAUAACCGGCGAUUUCCGAAUGGGGAAACCCAGUGUGUUUCGACACACUAUCAUUAACUGAAUCCAUAGGUUAAUGAGGCGAACCGGGGGAACUGAAACAUCUAAGUACCCCGAGGAAAAGAAAUCAACCGAGAUUCCCCCAGUAGCGGCGAGCGAACGGGGAGCAGCCCAGAGCCUGAAUCAGUGUGUGUGUUAGUGGAAGCGUCUGGAAAGGCGCGCGAUACAGGGUGACAGCCCCGUACACAAAAAUGCACAUACUGUGAGCUCGAUGAGUAGGGCGGGACACGUGGUAUCCUGUCUGAAUAUGGGGGGACCAUCCUCCAAGGCUAAAUACUCCUGACUGACCGAUAGUGAACCAGUACCGUGAGGGAAAGGCGAAAAGAACCCCGGCGAGGGGAGUGAAAAAGAACCUGAAACCGUGUACGUACAAGCAGUGGGAGCCUCUUUUAUGGGGUGACUGCGUACCUUUUGUAUAAUGGGUCAGCGACUUAUAUUCUGUAGCAAGGUUAACCGAAUAGGGGAGCCGAAGGGAAACCGAGUCUUAACCGGGCGUUAAGUUGCAGGGUAUAGACCCGAAACCCGGUGAUCUAGCCAUGGGCAGGUUGAAGGUUGGGUAACACUAACUGGAGGACCGAACCGACUAAUGUUGAAAAAUUAGCGGAUGACUUGUGGCUGGGGGUGAAAGGCCAAUCAAACCGGGAGAUAGCUGGUUCUCCCCGAAAGCUAUUUAGGUAGCGCCUCGUGAAUUCAUCUCCGGGGGUAGAGCACUGUUUCGGCAAGGGGGUCAUCCCGACUUACCAACCCGAUGCAAACUGCGAAUACCGGAGAAUGUUAUCACGGGAGACACACGGCGGGUGCUAACGUCCGUCGUGAAGAGGGAAACAACCCAGACCGCCAGCUAAGGUCCCAAAGUCAUGGUUAAGUGGGAAACGAUGUGGGAAGGCCCAGACAGCCAGGAUGUUGGCUUAGAAGCAGCCAUCAUUUAAAGAAAGCGUAAUAGCUCACUGGUCGAGUCGGCCUGCGCGGAAGAUGUAACGGGGCUAAACCAUGCACCGAAGCUGCGGCAGCGACACUGUGUGUUGUUGGGUAGGGGAGCGUUCUGUAAGCCUGUGAAGGUGUACUGUAAGGUAUGCUGGAGGUAUCAGAAGUGCGAAUGCUGACAUAAGUAACGAUAAAGCGGGUGAAAAGCCCGCUCGCCGGAAGACCAAGGGUUCCUGUCCAACGUUAAUCGGGGCAGGGUGAGUCGACCCCUAAGGCGAGGCCGAAAGGCGUAGUCGAUGGGAAACAGGUUAAUAUUCCUGUACUUGGUGUUACUGCGAAGGGGGGACGGAGAAGGCUAUGUUGGCCGGGCGACGGUUGUCCCGGUUUAAGCGUGUAGGCUGGUUUUCCAGGCAAAUCCGGAAAAUCAAGGCUGAGGCGUGAUGACGAGGCACUACGGUGCUGAAGCAACAAAUGCCCUGCUUCCAGGAAAAGCCUCUAAGCAUCAGGUAACAUCAAAUCGUACCCCAAACCGACACAGGUGGUCAGGUAGAGAAUACCAAGGCGUUUGAGAGAACUCGGGUGAAGGAACUAGGCAAAAUGGUGCCGUAACUUCGGGAGAAGGCACGCUGAUAUGUAGGUGAAGUCCCUCGCGGAUGGAGCUGAAAUCAGUCGAAGAUACCAGCUGGCUGCAACUGUUUAUUAAAAACACAGCACUGUGCAAACACGAAAGUGGACGUAUACGGUGUGACGCCUGCCCGGUGCCGGAAGGUUAAUUGAUGGGGUCAGCGCAAGCGAAGCUCUUGAUCGAAGCCCCGGUAAACGGCGGCCGUAACUAUAACGGUCCUAAGGUAGCGAAAUUCCUUGUCGGGUAAGUUCCGACCUGCACGAAUGGCGUAAUGAUGGCCAGGCUGUCUCCACCCGAGACUCAGUGAAAUUGAACUCGCUGUGAAGAUGCAGUGUACCCGCGGCAAGACGGAAAGACCCCGUGAACCUUUACUAUAGCUUGACACUGAACAUUGAGCCUUGAUGUGUAGGAUAGGUGGGAGGCUUUGAAGUGUGGACGCCAGUCUGCAUGGAGCCGACCUUGAAAUACCACCCUUUAAUGUUUGAUGUUCUAACGUGGACCCGUGAUCCGGGUUGCGGACAGUGUCUGGUGGGUAGUUUGACUGGGGCGGUCUCCUCCUAAAGAGUAACGGAGGAGCACGAAGGUUGGCUAAUCCUGGUCGGACAUCAGGAGGUUAGUGCAAUGGCAUAAGCCAGCUUGACUGCGAGCGUGACGGCGCGAGCAGGUGCGAAAGCAGGUCAUAGUGAUCCGGUGGUUCUGAAUGGAAGGGCCAUCGCUCAACGGAUAAAAGGUACUCCGGGGAUAACAGGCUGAUACCGCCCAAGAGUUCAUAUCGACGGCGGUGUUUGGCACCUCGAUGUCGGCUCAUCACAUCCUGGGGCUGAAGUAGGUCCCAAGGGUAUGGCUGUUCGCCAUUUAAAGUGGUACGCGAGCUGGGUUUAGAACGUCGUGAGACAGUUCGGUCCCUAUCUGCCGUGGGCGCUGGAGAACUGAGGGGGGCUGCUCCUAGUACGAGAGGACCGGAGUGGACGCAUCACUGGUGUUCGGGUUGUCAUGCCAAUGGCACUGCCCGGUAGCUAAAUGCGGAAGAGAUAAGUGCUGAAAGCAUCUAAGCACGAAACUUGCCCCGAGAUGAGUUCUCCCUGACCCUUUAAGGGUCCUGAAGGAACGUUGAAGACGACGACGUUGAUAGGCCGGGUGUGUAAGCGCAGCGAUGCGUUGAGCUAACCGGUACUAAUGAACCGUGAGGCUUAACCU